UUCAUUCCCGUGAGGGUUAUGAACAGGCAUGGGAUUGGUCUUGGACAGCCUGGGCUACGGCAGCAGGAAGAGAUGGAUGCAGGUUUGGGGCUCUAUUUCCCCUAAAUAACCUAAGUCCAGAUAGAGAUAAACAAUCUCUGGAAGAGGAGGCCUUUAAAAGACUAUCAGGAGCCUAGGCUCUGCUUCUGGGGCUGCAGGGCAUCUGGCUCACCAGCACGUGGAAGUUGAUCCGCUCACAGUGCUCCUGGCCGGAGGAGAGCAGGGCGGCCCUGUUGGUGUACCGGUCGCCGCCCUCAUCCAGGUGGGCCCGCGGUGUGUACCGCCUCUCAUCCAUGGUGGCAUUAUACCUGAUGCCUGGAGGAAGGAGAGAGACCCUCAAGAGAGCCCAAGAAUCGUGAAAAAUGGGGGAACCAACCACAAAAUCACGGCGUUGCCAAGAGCACCCACUGCCAAGUCCACGAGUCCGUCUUCAUCAAGGUCCAGC
Long non-coding RNA from Capra hircus (goat), 484 nucleotides. RefSeq lists it as uncharacterized. The transcript has 3 exons. NCBI's taxonomy places the organism in Eukaryota, Metazoa, Chordata, Mammalia, Artiodactyla, Bovidae. The record is from RefSeq and is a predicted model, not a curated record.